GAUGCCUGAUUUUGGAACCGAGUGUGAUCGUCUGGGCGGUGUGUUCACUCUGCAGGGAUGAUGGCCAGAGGAAGGAUGAUAGACAGGUAUCUUGCAGAAGAUGGGAG
Rhipicephalus sanguineus (brown dog tick) is the source of this 107-nucleotide long non-coding RNA. RefSeq lists it as uncharacterized. The transcript has 3 exons. The record is from RefSeq and is a predicted model, not a curated record. Lineage: Eukaryota; Metazoa; Arthropoda; Arachnida; Ixodida; Ixodidae.